CGCCUUGCCAGCCCGCUCAGAAACUUAAAGGAAUUGACGGGGGCCCGCACAAGCGGUGGAGCAUGUGGUUUAAUUCGAUGAUACGCGAGGAACCUUACCUGGGCUCAAAUGUAUGUUGACGUAUUUCUGAAAGGGAUACUUCUUCGGACAAUAUACAAGGUGCUGCAUGGUUGUCGUCAGCUCGUGCCGUGAGGUGUCGGGUUAAGUCCCAUAACGAGCGCAACCCCUAUCAUUAGUUGCCAUCAGGUCAAGCUGGGGACUCUAAUGAAACUGCCUACGCAAGUAGUGAGGAAGGUGGGGAUGACGUCAAAUCAGCACGGCCCUUACGUCCAGGGCUACACACGUGCUACAAUGGUCGGUACAAAGGGUUGCCAAGCCGCGAGGUGGAGCUAAUCCCAUAAAACCGAUCGUAGUCCGGAUCGCAGUCUGCAACUCGACUGCGUGAAGUCGGAAUCGCUAGUAAUCGUGAAUCAGAAUGUCACGGUGAAUACGUUCCCGGGCCUU
This 504-nucleotide ribosomal RNA is filed under the name uncultured Sphingobacteriales bacterium. RNAcentral describes it as "bacterial SSU rRNA". It matches the Rfam family "Bacterial small subunit ribosomal RNA", at positions 903 to 1382 of the family's 1533-position model. Lineage: Bacteria; Pseudomonadati; Bacteroidota; Sphingobacteriia; Sphingobacteriales. The record is from RNAcentral.